Molecule: long non-coding RNA, 2955 nt
Organism: Halichondria panicea
Lineage: Eukaryota; Metazoa; Porifera; Demospongiae; Suberitida; Halichondriidae
Exons: 9
Source: RefSeq, a predicted model, not a curated record
GUUCUUUCAACAAGUAUGCUUCGAUGAUAUCCCGUUUUACACACUGUGGCAUAUGUGUAGAUACAAGGGCUCCAUCAAAUCUUUGCUGCCACACAGUGCUGUCUGGAGAAAGAACUUGUGAGAUGUUUGGCUUUGAGUAUGAUGGGUCCAAUUGUAGAGAAAUGUGGUGGUGUUCAGAGAGGAUCUUAUUGACCUUUUUCGUUUCUUUGGAAAUUCCUUUGCAAAGUCUUUUAGCAAUCUUUUGACCAUCUACGUGAUGUAUGUCACCGCUGUUUCACAACAAUGAAAAUUCACCACUUAGUUUAUCAGGAUGUAGUACAUGAUUAUGACAAGAUAAUACAUUCCACCAAACCACAAACCAGUGGAAGUUGGGGGCUGUUUUAGAGCAUCCCAUUGUGGAGGGGGGGUUCCUAAGUAUGUGAAAAAUGUGACUGUGUGGAAGUAUAGAGCAUAUGCUUUCCCUAGAUACCAGUUUGAUAAAAAUUGAUCAAUCCCAGCACAAGCUGUAUUGGUUUGUACAAGUACAUCAUUGUAGACGUCAUGUGAGGUGUCUUUGGCAAAAAAGUACCACUGCCGGAGAAUGUGUUUUGCAAGACUAGCAACCGUUACUAUUUGAAAAGGUGGAGGUCUGCAUGCAAUGGUGGAUGGUGCUAUGUAAACAUAGUGCUGUUUCAUCAUACAUCGGAGCCUCUCCACACCAUUUGGAAUGUUGCGAUAUGUAACUUUUAAAUUGUUAAAAUAGGCGUGGAUCGCCUCAGCCCCUUGCUCUCCCAUGAGUCCUAUUCCCACCUGCCACUGGUCCAGCCAAUCAACCACAUGCUUCUCUAGCAUGUGCAUCUUUGGUAUGACGGUUGCUUGAGGAAAUUGCUCCCGAUAAAAUGUCAUAAAGGUGGAGAUGUGAGUACCUUUGGAGUAAAUUUACAUGAGUUAGGGUGACACAAAACUUCCGCUGGAUCUUCUCAGCACUCGUAACUAUGGACGGCUCAUAACUGCUUGCUCUGAGUACAACGGCAUUGCAGAGUUUCUCAAUGUUCCUCACCUGUAGAGUGAUAUUCAAAAGUCACUCAUGAAGUUUGAGUAUGAAGGGCCACCCCUCUCGCGACUAUCUUCAAACCAUGAGACUGCAUUGUCAAGCACAUGACAUUCAUCCUCCAUCAAUUGGAAGAGCCGGUAAAAAAUCCCUAAACUGAUGUGCAGUCCUGGAGGGCAAACCUGCAUUUCCAUUUUGGAAUAAGGAUCCCUCCGGCUGCAAUGAAGCUGUGGUGGUCUGUGACCAUACUGGCAGUGCUUCUGCUUUGAACAGUAGUGGGCGGGCUCCUUAGCUGUUCUGAUGUUGUCAAGCACCACAAGCAACAGUGCCGACCUGUUCAGAAUUUCACGUAAAGUAAGGCUGUCCACCUCAUCUUCGAACCUCUGUAGUGCGAUCUUCAAGUUGGUAACGUUGUCGGGAGCCUCAAAAACACAAAAAGCACAGGUAUUAACAGGGGAAUUAGGAUGCUCUACAUUACAUAUCUGAAAUACCAUCUUAAAACUCCCUCCUCCCUUAUCUCCACCCAACUUGACCCAGAUCUCGUCAGCAGGUAUCUUCCCUUCAUGCCAAGUAAGCCGGUGCACUCUAAAAAGAAUAAAAUGUUUGCACAGUCUCUUAAUUGGUUAAUUAAAUUGUACCUUCUCUCAUCGUCAUCAUUGGAAUUAAGAAUGUGUUGGAUCUUCUCCCAGAGAUGUGGUGUAUAACACAUGGGAACAUUCUUAAUUUCCACAGUGUGCCGGCCAUCCUUGACUGGAAAUGUGAAGGGAACAAGCUGACACUUAAGAUUAUCUAUUCCUAUGAGAGAGUUAGCUUCAGCCCGCAUCUUCUUCUCAGACGCUAUUUUUACACUGGACCCUAACAUUCUAGAAGGAAAAAUUAAAAGAGCUUGUUCCUGGGAAUCAUGAGAACAGACUGGAUACCUAAACUUUGGCUGACUGAAAACGUAACCUGGAAGCACCCUGCCGUCUUUUUCAGCUCUUCUAUCAACUUAUCCCGAUCUUCCUUCCCUGCAGUCUUGACCUCGUUGCUCAUCUGCUGUACCUCCGCACCACCGCUCACUCUCUUCCUGAUGUCCUGCAGCUCACUACUGCGCCGUCUCAGGGUGGUUUGGCUUGCAGUGCCGCUGGACACGCUAGAAUGCUGGAGUUGCGCAUACUGCGCUUGAUGAGGACAGUUUUCAGUUUCUCUUCAAAUGGGGACAAGGACAGUUCUUCAGGUCUGCUUAACAAGUCUGAAGGGCUGAGGGCUGCUGGUUUGAAGUGUGUGCAUGCACACUUGCUGUCAUGGUGGGCCUUGUGGUGUUUUAAGCACCCGUGUUUCCUGCACACACUGCACGUGACCUCAAGGCUUCCCAAGGCUCUCAAAGUGAUCUCGGAAGGAGGUUGUAUUGCUUCAAGAUCAUCAAGAUGUCCUGAUUGGCAACAAGGGCAUGAUGUCGUCUGAGACUCUUGUAGACACUGGCACAGACAAUCUGCACAGACAAGACUACCGCACGUCUUGAGUUCUAUAGGUUUGUCUACUAUCUUUUUACAGAUAGGACAGUCAAAACAACCUUGCGACGGUAGUACUGUGUCUUGUUCGCAGAAGGUGGAGGGAGCUAUCAGCUUGAUGUGCUGGAUGGCUGACUGAAAUGAGCCUUUUGCCGGUCUGCCAGGUUUGUAUUGCUUCUUCGGCCUCCCACCAACACUGAGGUCGUCGUGCCUGUCAGAGCAGACAUAUCUCCGACCUGAGGGACCUUUCUUGUUCUUAAAGAGAGAUCCACAAACCCUGCAGUGCCUGCAAAGUGCCUCAAGAUGUUCUUGACUCAUUCCUGAAGGUUGAUGCAAAUGAAUUGUCUGUUUUUGUUCAUUAUAUAUCAAUGUGCAUGUGUAAAUAUCGUAAAUUUGUGUCAUGUUUCAGACCUAUAUUGUUGCUGCCAAAAAAUU